RNAcentral lists this ribosomal RNA (460 nucleotides) under uncultured bacterium. Its description in RNAcentral is "partial 16S ribosomal RNA". It matches the Rfam family "Bacterial small subunit ribosomal RNA", at positions 338 to 795 of the family's 1533-position model. The record is from RNAcentral.
CCUACGGGGGGCAGCAGUGAGGAAUAUUGGUCAAUGGGCGCGAGCCUGAACCAGCCAAGUAGCGUGAAGGAUGACUGCCCUACGGGUUGUACACUUCUUUUAUAAAGGAAUAAAGUGCGGCACGUGUGCCUUUUUGUAUGUACUUUAUGAAUAAGGAUCGGCUACCUCCGUGCCAGCAGCCGCGGUAAUACGGAGGAUCCGAGCGUUGUCCGGAUUUAUUGGGGUUAAAGGGAGCGUAGGUGGGUUGUUAGGUCAGUUGUGAAAGUUUGCGGCUCAACCGUGAAAUUGCAAUUGAUACUGGCAGUCUUGAGUACAGUUGAGGUAGGCGGAAUUCGUGGUGUAGCGGUGAAAUGCUUAGAUAUCACGAAGAACUCCGAUUGCGAAGGCAGCUUACUAAACUGCCACUGACAUUGAUGCUCGAAAGUGUGGGGAGCAAACAGGAUUAGAUACCCUUGUAGUC